This 1164-nucleotide long non-coding RNA is filed under the name Anser brachyrhynchus (Pink-footed goose). RNAcentral's name for it is "lncRNA (ENSABRG00000014230.1)". Lineage: Eukaryota; Metazoa; Chordata; Aves; Anseriformes; Anatidae. The record is from RNAcentral.
GCCAGACAUCUAAGGGAUGGAGAGGAAGGGCAGGUUAACUGGCCCUGCCUCAUACACAGUGAGCUGGAUUCUGAGCCUUCCAGCAUCACUUUGUAGAUGAUUCUGCCUCCAUGUCAGAUAUCUUCCACCAUGUCAUCCAGCAAAGGCUGCAGAAUGUCUGCAGGGCUCUGAUUGCAGGAACAAGGGUCAUUACUACCAAGAAAUGCUGUCUGUUUACUGUGUUGCAACAGAGCUGCUCUGUAGCUAUCACAUACCUUUGCUGUCUAAGCUGUGAGGCACCUCAUUGCAGCCUAUAGAGCUGAAAAAUACAUUUUUUCUCCAGCUCCUGCUGGCGUUGAGUCUUAUGGAGGUGGCCAUUAAUAUGGAAGCCUAACAAAAGGAUGUUGUAGGUGCUGGAACUACCCGGGUAUUUAUUGGCAAAGACCCUGCAUGUCUGCCGCAUAUGUUAACCUCUGCCUGGGGCACAGCAAAGCCACUCUGAUUAGCACAUUUUCUUUCUGAGCUGUAGAUCCUGGUUCACAGCUAUAAAUCUUGACCUACAAAUCAAGGUCAUUUGGACUGAAUAUAUCAAGAGAAGUUGUCUCUGUUCAGGAGGACUAAACAUUGUUCAACAAGAACAGUUCAGACGUGCUUGGACAAGAAAAAGCUAUAAUGGAUCAGCAACGUUCAAUACCAAGAAAGAGAACUCCAAAAACAAUGAAAGAAAGGAAAGAAAUAACAUUAGGAGGAUGUCAGUUUGCACAAAAAGUAGUGAAAAAAAAAUGAACAUGAAAGCAAAGCUUAGCAAAGAAUUAAACCAUAAAAGAAGGCUGGGUGAGAUGCUAGUCCAGCUGGACAACAUUUACAUUCCAAGCAGCUUUCCCAUGAUUUACUCUGAACACAUGGUGAGGUCAUGACUAUCAAAUAACUCUACUCCAGAUUCACAUAUCUUUGUUCCUGAAAAGAAAUUUGAAAGACAAAAGAUUAAAAACCGGUCAUUUAAAGAAGAGUUUUAAUAUAUCACAGAAGUGCAUACCAUCUUCUAUCCAGGAGGAUUUUCAAAAUAUUUCUAUAGAGAAAUCAUUUUCUCCUUCAUUGACUUUGCAAAGAUAUUUGAUAUGUUGGGAUGAAACCGAAGAUGAAGUUCCCAUAACAUAUAGUUGAGUUUUCAUGUAAGCUCUGGUG